RNAcentral lists this ribosomal RNA (506 nucleotides) under uncultured bacterium. Its description in RNAcentral is "partial 16S ribosomal RNA". It matches the Rfam family "Bacterial small subunit ribosomal RNA", at positions 28 to 523 of the family's 1533-position model. The record is from RNAcentral.
GAUGAACGCUAGCUACAGGCUUAACACAUGCAAGUCGAGGGGUAACGAGAGGGAAGCUUGCUUUCCUUGUCGACGACCGGCGCACGGGUGAGUAACGCGUAUCCAACCUGCCCCCAACUAGGGAAUAACCUUGCGAAAGUAAGACUAAUACCCUAUAAUUUCCUCAGAUGUCAUCUGACGAGGAAUAAAGAUUUAUCGGUUGUGGAUGGGGAUGCGUCAGAUUAGCUUGUUGGCGGGGUAACGGCCCACCAAGGCAACGAUCAGUAGGGGUUCUGAGAGGAAGGUACCCCACAUUGGGACUGAGACACGGUCCAAACUCCUACGGGAGGCAGCAGUGAGGAAUAUUGGUCAAUGGGCGGAAGCCUGAACCAGCCAAGUAGCGUGCAGGAUGACGGCCCUAUGGGUUGUAAACUGCUUUUAUACAGGAAUAAAGUUAGCCACGUGUGGUUAUUUGUAGGUACUGUAUGAAUAAGGACCGGCUAAUUCCGUGCCAGCAGCCGCAGUAA